UACGGAGGAGGCAAGCGUUAUCCGGAAUUAUUGGGCGUAAAGCGUCCGCAGGUGGCACCUCAAGUCUGCUGUCAAAGACCGGGGCUUAACCCCAGAAAGGCAGUGGAAACUGAAGUGCUAGAGUGCAGUAGGGGUAGAGGGAAUUCCCGGUGUAGCGGUGAAAUGCGCAGAUAUCAGGAAGAACACCCGUGGCGAAGGCGGCUCUCUGGUACGUGACUGACGCUGAGACGCGAAAGCGUGGGGAGCGAACAGG
RNAcentral lists this ribosomal RNA (253 nucleotides) under uncultured bacterium. RNAcentral describes it as "partial 16S ribosomal RNA". It matches the Rfam family "Bacterial small subunit ribosomal RNA", at positions 524 to 776 of the family's 1533-position model. The record is from RNAcentral.